AACGAACGCUGACGGUGUGCCUCAUACAUGCAAGUCGAGCGGGCUCAGCAAUGGGUCAGCGGCGGACGGGUGAGUAACACGUGAACAAUCUGCCCCCGAAUUUGGGAUAACGGUUCCAACGAGCCGCUAAUACCGGAUAGGUUUACUUGGUCUCCUGAUCGAGUUAAGAAAGUUGCAAUUGCAACGUUCGGGGAUGAGUUCGCGGCCCAUUAGCUAGUUGGCGGGGUAACGGCCCACCAAGGCGACGAUGGGUAGCCGGCCUGAGAGGGUGAUCGGCCACAUUGGGACUGAGAUACGGCCCAGACUCCUACGGGAGGCAGCAGUAGGGAAUUUUGCGCAAUGGACGAAAGUCUGACGCAGCAACACCGUGUGAGGGAUGAAGCAUUUCGGUGUGUAAACCUCUGUCGAUGGUGAAUAAGGCAUGUGGGAGUGGAAAGCCCAUGUGUUGAAGGUAGCCAGAAAGGAAGCACCGGCUAACUCUGUG
RNAcentral lists this ribosomal RNA (484 nucleotides) under uncultured organism. RNAcentral describes it as "bacterial SSU rRNA". It matches the Rfam family "Bacterial small subunit ribosomal RNA", at positions 29 to 507 of the family's 1533-position model. The record is from RNAcentral.